Molecule: ribosomal RNA, 1712 nt
Filed under: Escherichia coli
Lineage: Bacteria; Pseudomonadati; Pseudomonadota; Gammaproteobacteria; Enterobacterales; Enterobacteriaceae
Description: partial 23S ribosomal RNA
Rfam family: Bacterial large subunit ribosomal RNA
Source: RNAcentral
AAAGAAAGCGUAAUAGCUCACUGGUCGAGUCGGCCUGCGCGGAAGAUGUAACGGGGCUAAACCAUGCACCGAAGCUGCGGCAGCGACGCUGAUGCGUUGUUGGGUAGGGGAGCGUUCUGUAAGCCUGUGAAGGUGUGCUGUGAGGCAUGCUGGAGGUAUCAGAAGUGCGAAUGCUGACAUAAGUAACGAUAAAGCGGGUGAAAAGCCCGCUCGCCGGAAGACCAAGGGUUCCUGUCCAACGUUAAUCGGGGCAGGGUGAGUCGACCCCUAAGGCGAGGCCGAAAGGCGUAGUCGAUGGGAAACAGGUUAAUAUUCCUGUACUUGGUGUUACUGCGAAGGGGGGACGGAGAAGGCUAUGUUGGCCGGGCGACGGUUGUCCCGGUUUAAGCGUGUAGGCUGGUUUUCCAGGCAAAUCCGGAAAAUCAAGGCUGAGGCGUGAUGACGAGGCACUACGGUGCUGAAGCAACAAAUGCCCUGCUUCCAGGAAAAGCCUCUAAGCAUCAGGUAACAUCAAAUCGUACCCCAAACCGACACAGGUGGUCAGGUAGAGAAUACCAAGGCGCUUGAGAGAACUCGGGUGAAGGAACUAGGCAAAAUGGUGCCGUAACUUCGGGAGAAGGCACGCUGAUAUGUAGGUGAGGUCCCUCGCGGAUGGAGCUGAAAUCAGUCGAAGAUACCAGCUGGCUGCAACUGUUUAUUAAAAACACAGCACUGUGCAAACACGAAAGUGGACGUAUACGGUGUGACGCCUGCCCGGUGCCGGAAGGUUAAUUGAUGGGGUUAGCCGCAAGGCGAAGCUCUUGAUCGAAGCCCCGGUAAACGGCGGCCGUAACUAUAACGGUCCUAAGGUAGCGAAAUUCCUUGUCGGGUAAGUUCCGACCUGCACGAAUGGCGUAAUGAUGGCCAGGCUGUCUCCACCCGAGACUCAGUGAAAUUGAACUCGCUGUGAAGAUGCAGUGUACCCGCGGCAAGACGGAAAGACCCCGUGAACCUUUACUAUAGCUUGACACUGAACAUUGAGCCUUGAUGUGUAGGAUAGGUGGGAGGCUUUGAAGUGUGGACGCCAGUCUGCAUGGAGCCGACCUUGAAAUACCACCCUUUAAUGUUUGAUGUUCUAACGUUGACCCGUAAUCCGGGUUGCGGACAGUGUCUGGUGGGUAGUUUGACUGGGGCGGUCUCCUCCUAAAGAGUAACGGAGGAGCACGAAGGUUGGCUAAUCCUGGUCGGACAUCAGGAGGUUAGUGCAAUGGCAUAAGCCAGCUUGACUGCGAGCGUGACGGCGCGAGCAGGUGCGAAAGCAGGUCAUAGUGAUCCGGUGGUUCUGAAUGGAAGGGCCAUCGCUCAACGGAUAAAAGGUACUCCGGGGAUAACAGGCUGAUACCGCCCAAGAGUUCAUAUCGACGGCGGUGUUUGGCACCUCGAUGUCGGCUCAUCACAUCCUGGGGCUGAAGUAGGUCCCAAGGGUAUGGCUGUUCGCCAUUUAAAGUGGUACGCGAGCUGGGUUUAGAACGUCGUGAGACAGUUCGGUCCCUAUCUGCCGUGGGCGCUGGAGAACUGAGGGGGGCUGCUCCUAGUACGAGAGGACCGGAGUGGACGCAUCACUGGUGUUCGGGUUGUCAUGCCAAUGGCACUGCCCGGUAGCUAAAUGCGGAAGAGAUAAGUGCUGAAAGCAUCUAAGCACGAAACUUGCCCCGAGAUGAGUUCUCCCUGAC